RNAcentral lists this long non-coding RNA (613 nucleotides) under Pan troglodytes (chimpanzee). RNAcentral describes it as "long non-coding RNA NONPTRT013823". Lineage: Eukaryota; Metazoa; Chordata; Mammalia; Primates; Hominidae. The record is from RNAcentral.
UUUAUUUUACAAUAUACUUAAUAUUCUCUUCUUCUUUACCUUCCUCUCCAGCUUCAUUUCCUUCAUGCUGAAUCACCAGGGGGUCCCACAUGGCUGUCCCAACUCCAUCAAGCUGGAGUCCGAGAGGUGGCAGGCAGGCGGGCAGGGGCUUAGGAACACGCGAGGCAGCCGCACUCUAAGUGUCUCUCCACCUCUUCUACAAAUGAGGAGCCGUCCGUGCACUGGAAGACGUAUUUCCGCCGCUUGCUGCGGGUGGGCUGGCAGCACUGGGGCCCACAGCCCCCACGACAUUCCAUGAUGGGCACCUUGGAGGCUGUGGCACAUGAUGCAUAACCUUUCUGGCGGCGGAUCACCUCUCGGACUACUUGUCCCAGGCACGGAUUCUCUGCAGAGGGCAUAGAAGUCAGGGCAUUGGUGGUCUAGGUGGCCAGCAGGACCAUGAACAGUUCCCAGGUAUAAAAUGUGGAAAAGUCCUCGAGGCACGGGGUGGACUGCCUGGGAUCCUGGUGGCAGGGAGCAAGACUUCUCAGUGUCCAUGCAGGAGAAAGAUCCCCCAAGGAAGCUCUGGGCCCAGGCUCCAUUCGGACCUCCCAUUUUUCUACCCACGAACACC